AGUGAACGCUGGCGGCAGGCCUAACACAUGCAAGUCGAACGGCAGCACAGUAAGAGUUUGCUCUUACGGGUGGCGAGUGGCGGACGGGUGAGGAAUACAUCGGAAUCUACUUUUUCGUGGGGGAUAACGUAGGGAAACUUACGCUAACACCGCAUACGACCUACGGGUGAAAGCAGGGGAUCUUCGCACCUUGCGCGAUUGAAUGAGCCGAUGUCGGAUUAGCUAGUUGGCGGGGUAAAGGCCCACCAAGGCGACGAUCCGUAGCUGGUCUGAGAGGAUGAUCAGCCACACUGGAACUGAGACACGGUCCAGACUCCUACGGGAGGCAGCAGUGGGGAAUAUUGGACAAUGGGCGCAAGCCUGAUCCAGCCAUACCGCGUGGGUGAAGAAGGCCUUCGGGUUGUAAAGCCCUUUUGUUGGGAAAGAAAAGCAGCAGGUUAAUACCCCGCUGUUCUGACGGUACCCAAAGAAUAAGCACCGGCUAACUUCGUG
This 492-nucleotide ribosomal RNA is filed under the name uncultured bacterium. RNAcentral describes it as "partial 16S ribosomal RNA". It matches the Rfam family "Bacterial small subunit ribosomal RNA", at positions 29 to 507 of the family's 1533-position model. The record is from RNAcentral.